Molecule: long non-coding RNA, 229 nt
Filed under: Trifolium pratense (red clover)
Lineage: Eukaryota; Viridiplantae; Streptophyta; Magnoliopsida; Fabales; Fabaceae
Description: long non-coding RNA (TPRA_LNC013011)
Source: RNAcentral
UGUUGUAUAUUUUAACUAAGUAAUUUAUUUUAAAGUUAAUUAUUGUAUAAUGAUUAAAUUAAUUACUUUUAGACCAAGUCAUAACAUAGUACACGUUUUGUUUAAUUCCUAUUUACUUGGUUUUUAAUCCUAGUUAUUAGGAUUGGAGGUUAUGUUUGGUACUAUUUAAUAGAGCAUGAGUAUAUUAUAUAGAGAGAUAUGAUUGUGUGGGACGAGAAAAAAAAAGGGG